AGCAGCCGCGGUAAUUCCAGCUCCAAUAGCGUAUAUUAAAGUUGUUGCAGUUAAAAGCUGUAGUUGAACUUUGGGGUUUACUCAUUGGUCAGGCUUAAUUGUCUGUACUGGUGAGAUGAUCUCUACCUUCUGAGGAACUUUAUGCCAUUUAUUUGGUGUGAUUGCAUGGAAUAAUGAAUAGGACGGAUUGAUUCUAUUUCGUUGUU
RNAcentral lists this ribosomal RNA (206 nucleotides) under uncultured Glomeromycotina. Its description in RNAcentral is "partial small subunit ribosomal RNA". It matches the Rfam family "Eukaryotic small subunit ribosomal RNA", at positions 569 to 775 of the family's 1831-position model. Lineage: Eukaryota; Fungi; Glomeromycota. The record is from RNAcentral.